Molecule: ribosomal RNA, 468 nt
Filed under: uncultured bacterium
Lineage: Bacteria
Description: partial 16S ribosomal RNA
Rfam family: Bacterial small subunit ribosomal RNA
Source: RNAcentral
GACGAACGCUGGCGGCGUGCUUAAUACAUGCAAGUCGAGCGGUAAGGCCUUGUUCUUGUGGGGUGUUCGAGUGGCGAACGGGUGAGUGUAACGUGAGUAAACUGCGCCUUACAUCGGGGUAACUCCUGGGAACUCGAGUUAAUAUCGGACAUGAGCACCUUCUACACGGGGGGUGUGGGAAAGUUUCGCCGGUUGGGGAUGGAAACGCGGCUUAUCGGUGUGUUGGCGAGGUGGUGGCUUACAAAGGCUCUGACGGGUAGCCGGCCUGAGAGGGUGACCGGCCACAUUGGGACUGGGAUACGGCCCAGAGUCCUACGGGAGGCAGCAGUGGGGAAUAUUGCAAGAUGGGCGGAAGCCUGAUGCAGCAACGCCGCGUGCGGGAUGACGGCCUUCGGGUUGUAAACCGCUUUCGCCUGUGACGAAGCGUGAGUGACGGUAAUGGGUAAAGAAGCACCGGCUAACUACGUG